This 4515-nucleotide long non-coding RNA is filed under the name Oncorhynchus mykiss (rainbow trout). RNAcentral's name for it is "lncRNA (ENSOMYG00000047852.1)". The record is from RNAcentral. Lineage: Eukaryota; Metazoa; Chordata; Actinopteri; Salmoniformes; Salmonidae.
GCUCUCUCACUCCUCUCUCACUCCUCUCUCUCUCCUCUCUCUCUCCCCUCUCUCUCCUCUCUCAAUCCUCUCUCUCUCCUCUCUCUCUCCUCUCUCUCUCCUCUCUCUCUCCCCUCUCUCUCCUCUCUCACUCCUCUCUCUCUCCUCUCUCACUCCUCUAUCACUCCUCUCUUUCUCUCUCCUCUCUCUCUCCCCUCUCAUCUCUUUCGCACUCCUCUCUCUCUCCUCUCUCUCUACUCUCUCAAUCCUCUCUCUCUCCUCUCUCUCUCUCCUCUCUCAAUCCUCUCUCUCUCCUCUCACUCCUCUCUCUCACUCCUCUCUCUCUCCUCUCUCUAUCCCCUCUCUCUCCUCCCUCAAUCCUCUCUCUCUCCUCUCUCACGCCUCUCUCACUCCUCUCUCUCUCCUCCCUCAAUCCUCUCUCUCCUCUCUCACUCCUCUCUCUCUCCUCUCUCACUCCUCUCUCACUCCUCUCUCACUCCUCUCUUUCUCUCUCUCUCCCCUCUCUCUCCUCUCAUCUCUUUCUCACUCCUCUCACUCUCCUCUCUCACUCCUCUCUUUCUCUCUCCUCUCUUUCUCUCUCCUCUCACUCCUCUCUACUCUCAUCUCUUUCUCACUCCUCUCUUUCUCUCUAAUCUCUUUCUCUCUCCUCUUUCACUCCUCUCGUGCUCUCUCCUCUCUCACUCCUCUCUCUUUCUCUCUCCUCUCUCUCUCUCACUCCUCUCUCUCUCUCUCUCUCUCUCUCUCUCUCCCCUAUUUCUCCUCUCACUCCUCUCUUUCUCUCCUCUUUAUCUCUACUCUCUCUCUCACUCCUCUCUCUCUCCUCCCUUUCUCUCUCCCCUCUCUCUCCUCUAUUUCUCUCUCCUUUCUUCCUCUCUCCUCUCUUCCUCUCUCCUCUUUCUCACUCCUCUCUCGCUCUCUCCUCUCUUUCUCUCCUCUCUUUCUCUCUCCCCUCUCUCAUCUCUCUCUCACUCCUCUCUCUUCCCUCUUCCUCUCUUCCUCUCUCCCCUCUCUCUCUCCUCUCUCUCUCCUCUCUCUCUCCUCUCUUUCUCUCUCCUCUCUUUCUCUCUCGCUCUCUCCCCUCUUUCUCUCUCCUCUCUCGCCCCUCUUUCUCUCUCCUCUCUUUCUCUAUCCUCUCUUCCUCUCUCCUCUCUUUCUCUCUCCUCUCUUUCUCUCUCUUCUCUUCCUCUUUCUCUCUCCUCUCUCUCUCUUCUCUUUCUCUCUCCUCUCUUUCUCUUUCCCCUCUCUCUCUCCUCUCUUAUCUCCCUCUUUCUCUCUCCUCUCUUGCUCUCUCCUCUCUUGGUCACUCCUCUCUCCCUCUCUCUCUCCUCUUUCUCUCCCUCUCCUCUCUUUCUCUCUCCUCUCUUCCUCUCUCUCUCCCCCUCUCUCCUCUCUCUCACUCCUCUUUCGCUCUCUCCUCUCUCUCCUAUUUCUCUCCCCUCUCUCUCUCACUCCUCUCUCCCUCUCUCUCUCCUCUCUUUCUCUCUCCUCUCUUCCUCUCUCCUCUCUCUCUCCCCUCUCUCAUCUCUCUCUCUCACUCCUCUCUCUUCCCUCUUCCUCUCUUCCUCUCUCCCCUCUCUCUCUCCUCUCUCUCUCCUCUCUUUCUCUCUUUCGCUGUCCUCUCUUCCUCUCUCCUCUCUCGCUCUUUCCUCUCUCUCUCACUCUUUCUCACUCCUCUCCCUCUCUCCUCUCUUCUCUCUCUUUCUCUCUCCUCUCUUUCUCUCUCGCUCUCUCCCCUCUUUCUCUCUCCUCUCUCUCCCCUCUUUCUCUCUCCUCUCUUUCUCUAUCCUCUCUUUCUCUCUCCUCUCUUUCUCUCUCUUCUCUUCCUCUUUCUCUCUCCUCUCUCUCUCUUCUCUUUCUCUCUCCUCUCUUUCUCUUUCCCCUCUCAUUCUCUUUCCCCUCACUACUCUCAUCUCUUUCUCACUCCUCUCUUUCUCUCUAAUCUCUUUCUCUCUCCUCUUUCACUCCUCUCGUGCUCUCUCCUCUCUCACUCCUCUCUCUUUCUCUCUCCUUCUCUCUCUCUCACUCCUCUCUCUCUCUCUCUCUCUCUCUCUCUCUCUCUCUCCCCUAUUUCUCCUCUCACUCCUCUCUUUCUCUCCUCUUUAUCUCUACUCUCUCUCUCACUCCUCUCUCUCUCCUCCCUUUCUCUCUCCCCUCUCUCUCCUCUAUUUCUCUCUCCUUUCUUCCUCUCUCCUCUCUUCCUCUCUCCUCUUUCUCACUCCUCUCUCGCUCUCUCCUCUCUUUCUCUCUCCCCUCUCUCAUCUCUCUCUCACUCCUCUCUCUUCCCUCUUCCUCUCUUCCUCUCUCCCCUCUCUCUCUCCUCUCUCUCUCCUCUCUCUCUCCUCUCUUUCUCUCUCCUCUCUUUCUCUCUCGCUCUCUCCCCUCUUUCUCUCUCCUCUCUCGCCCCUCUUUCUCUCUCCUCUCUUUCUCUAUCCUCUCUUCCUCUCUCCUCUCUUUCUCUCUCCUCUCUUUCUCUCUCUUCUCUUCCUCUUUCUCUCUCCUCUCUCUCUCUUCUCUUUCUCUCUCCUCUCUUUCUCUUUCCCCUCUCUCUCUCCUCUCUUAUCUCCCUCUUUCUCUCUCCUCUCUUGCUCUCUCCUCUAUUGGUCAUUCCUCUCUCCCUCUCUCUCUCCUCUUUCUCUCCCUCUCCUCUCUUUCUCUCUCCUCUCUCUCUCCCCCUCUCUCCUCUCUCUCACUCCUCUUUCGCUCUCUCCUCUCUCUCCUAUUUCUCUCCCCUCUCUCUCUCACUCCUCUCUCCCUCUCUCUCUCCUCUCUUUCUCUCUCCUCUCUUCCUCUCUCCUCUCUCUCUCCCCUCUCUCAUCUCUCUCUCACUCCUCUCUCUUCCCUCUUCCUCUCUUCCUCUCUCUCCUCUCUCUCCCCUCUUUCUCUCUCCUCUCUUUCUCUAUCCUCUCUUUCUCUCUCCUCUCUUUCUCUCUCUUCUCUUCCUCUUUCUCUCUCCUCUCUCUCUCUUCUCUUUCUCUCUCCUCUCUUUCUAUUUCCCCUCUCUCUCUCUCCUCUCUUAUCUCCCUCUUUCUCUCUCCUCUCUCUCUCCUCUCUUUCUCUCUCCUCUCUUUCUCUCUCCUCUCUUGCUCUCUCCUCUCUUGCUCUCUCCUCUCCCUCUUUCUUUCUCAUCUCUUUCUCCCCCUCUCUCCUCUCUUGCACUCCUCUCUCUCACUCCUCUCUCUCCUCUCUCUCACUCCUCUCUCUCUCCUCACUCUCUUCUCUCUUUCUCUCUCUCCUCUCUCGCUCUCUCCUCUUUCUCUCCCUCUCCUCUCUUCCUCUCUCCUCUCUCUCUCCCCCUCUCUCCUCUCUCUCUCUCCUCUCUCUCACUCCUCUUUCGCUCUCUCCUCACUCUCUUCUCUCUUUCUCUCUCUCCUCUCUCGCUCUCUCCUCUUUCUCUCCCUCUCCUCUCUUUCUCUCUCCUCUCUUCCUCUCUCCUCUCUCUCUCCUCUCUCUCACUCCUCUUUCGCUCUCUCCUCUCUCUCCUAUUUCUCUUUCUCUCUCCUCUCUUCCUCUCUCCUCUCUCUCUCCCCCUCUCUCCUCUCUCUCUCUCCUCUCUCUCACUCCUCUUUCGCUCUCUCCUCUCUCUCCUCUGUCUCUCCCCUCUCUCUCUCACUCCUCUCUCCCUCUCCUCUCUUUCUCUCUCCUCUCUUCCUCUCUCUCUCCCCCUCUCUCCUCUCUCUCCUCUCUCCCUCUCCUCUCUUUCUCUCUCCUCUCCUCCUCUCUCCCCCUCUCUCCUCUCUCUCUCUCCUCUCUCUCACUCCUCUUUCGCUCUCUCCUCACUCUCUUCUCUCUUUCUCUCUCUCCUCUCUCGCUCUCUCCUCUUUCUCUCCCUCUCCUCUCUUUCUCUCUCCUCUCUUCCUCUCUCCUCUCUCUCUCCUCUCUCUCACUCCUCUUUCGCUCUCUCCUCUCUCUCCUAUUUCUCUUUCUCUCUCCUCUCUUCCUCUCUCCUCUCUCUCUCCCCCUCUCUCCUCUCUCUCUCUCCUCUCUCUCACUCCUCUUUCGCUCUCUCCUCUCUCUCCUAUUUCUCUCCCCUCUCUCUCUCACUCCUCUCUCCCUCUCUCCUCUCUUUCUCUCUCCUCUCUUCCUCUCUCCUCUCUCUCUCCCCCUCUCUCCUCUCUCUCUCUCCUCUCUCUCACUCCUCUUUCGCUCUCUCCUCUCUCUCCUCUGUCUCUCCCCUCUCUCUCUCACUCCUCUCUCCCUCUCCUCUCUUUCUCUCUCCUCUCUUUCUCUCUCCUCUCUUCCUCUCUCUCUCCCCCUCUCUCCUCUCUCUCCUCUCGUUCUCUCUCCUCUCUUUCUCUUUCCCAUCUCUCCCUCUCUCCCUCUUUCUCUCUCUGGCUCUUUCUCUCUCCUCUCUUUGGCUCUUUCUCUCUCCUCUCUUUGGCUCAUUCUCUCUCCUCUCUCGCUCCCUCUUUCUCCCUCCUCUCUCUCUCCUCUCCUCUCCCAGAGUGGGGAGUGGAAGGGAGGGGAGGCAGGGGACACUCAGUCAUAUCCAUGCACAUGGGCGUCACAGACGGAUAA